AAAAUGGACACAUGCACACCUCACAGUUCAUAUGGGUAAAUUGGAGGAAACCAGAAAACACAGAGGAAAGCCAAUGCAGACACGGAAAACAUGCACAGAAACGCUCUGGAGCUGUGUGCCACAGUUUGACCCCUGGGCAAAACUCUCAGAGAAAGUUAGCCAGAGGCAAUGGGUCAAGCCCAGACGAAGCUUCUGAGGAAGUCCCACUGAGAUCAAAUGAUCUCUUUUACAAGAGAGACCUGGCCAAGGUGCAUAAUAGGAAAAAAGGAGUUUUCCCCAGAUCUGUCAGAACCCGGGGUACAUUAAAAAGCAACAUCUGGAGGAGUGCAAGUGAUAACUACCCGAACUAAGGAAAAGAAGGUUAAAAAGGUAGGGUGGAAGUUUAACAUGUAUAACUUUAAAGCUAAAGAUAUACCAAUGCUGUUUUCUACGUGUAGUCAAUGAUGUCCAACCCUCUAAAUCAUAAAGAGUGCAAUGAGUAAGAGACUUUACAUUGGUAAUAAAAUGCACAGAUGCAUGAUACUCUGACUCAAGGCUCUGUAAAAUAGAGGUAGCUGCAUACAUAUACAAUAUAUCACCGUAAUCAAUCACAGGAAAAAAAGUAGCUUCCACAAGUUUUUUCCUGGCAUUUAAAGUGAA
Molecule: long non-coding RNA, 639 nt
Organism: Ictalurus punctatus (channel catfish)
Lineage: Eukaryota; Metazoa; Chordata; Actinopteri; Siluriformes; Ictaluridae
Source: Ensembl